Molecule: ribosomal RNA, 803 nt
Filed under: uncultured bacterium
Lineage: Bacteria
Description: bacterial SSU rRNA
Rfam family: Bacterial small subunit ribosomal RNA
Source: RNAcentral
GGGUCAGGAUGAACGCUGGCGGCGUGCUUAACACAUGCUUUUCGAACGAAGCACCUUAUUUGAUUUCCUUCGGGACUGAUUAUUUUGUGACUGAGUGGCGGACGGGUGAGUAACGCGUGGGUAACCUGCCUUGUACAGGGGGAUAACAGUUGGAAACGGCUGCUAAUACCGCAUAAGCGCACAGCAUCGCAUGAUGCAGUGUGAAAAACUCCGGUGGUAUAAGAUGGACCCGCGUUGGAUUAGCUAGUUGGUGAGGUAACGGCCCACCAAGGCGACGAUCCAUAGCCGACCUGAGAGGGUGACCGGCCACAUUGGGACUGAGACACGGCCCAAACUCCUACGGGAGGCAGCAGUGGGGAAUAUUGCACAAUGGGCGAAAGCCUGAUGCAGCGACGCCGCGUGAGCGAAGAAGUAUUUCGGUAUGUAAAGCUCUAUCAGCAGGGAAGAUAAUGACGGUACCUGACUAAGAAGCACCGGCUAAAUACGUGCCAGCAGCCGCGGUAAUACGUAUGGUGCAAGCGUUAUCCGGAUUUACUGGGUGUAAAGGGAGCGCAGGCGGUGCGGCAAGUCUGAUGUGAAAGCCCGGGGCUCAACCCCGGUACUGCAUUGGAAACUGUCGUACUAGAGUGUCGGAGGGGUAAGCGGAAUUCCUAGUGUAGCGGUGAAAUGCGUAGAUAUUAGGAGGAACACCAGUGGCGAAGGCGGCUUACUGGACGAUAACUGACGCUGAGGCUCGAAAGCGUGGGGAGCAAACAGGAUUAGAUACCCUGGUAGCCCACGCCGUAAACGAUGAAUACUAGGUG